Molecule: non-coding RNA, 2074 nt
Organism: Lipotes vexillifer (Yangtze River dolphin)
Lineage: Eukaryota; Metazoa; Chordata; Mammalia; Artiodactyla; Lipotidae
Source: RefSeq, a predicted model, not a curated record
CGGGGCUUCCGGUCGGGGCACAGGGGCUUCCGCCGCCGCGGCGCCUCGGAUGGCCGCGCUCCGGCUAUCGCUCGCGGCCUCGCUCGCGGCCGCCCGCGCCCGGCCGCCCCUCGGCCGCCGCCCGCCGCCCGCGCCCUGCUCCGCGUCGGCCGGCGCCAUGGAGCCUGAGCCCCGCUGGCUGGCGGGGCUGCGCUUCGACAACCGUGCCCUGCGCGCGCUGCCGGUGGAGACGCCGCCGUCUGGCCCCGAGGGCGCCCCGUCCGCGCCGCGGCCCGUGCCCGGCGCCUGCUUCAGCCGCGUGCGGCCCGCGCCCCUGCGGCAGCCGCGCGUCGUGGCGCUGUCGGAGCCCGCGCUGGCGCUGCUGGGCCUGGGCGCGCCGCCCGCCGACGCCGCCGCCCGCGAGGCUCGUGAGGCCGAGGCCGCGCUCUUUUUCAGCGGCAACGCGCUGCUGCCGGGCGCCGAGCCCGCCGCGCACUGCUAUUGCGGCCACCAGUUCGGCCAGUUCGCCGGGCAGCUGGGCGACGGCGCCGCCAUGUACCUGGGCGAGGUGUGCACGGCGGCCGGCGAGCGCUGGGAGCUGCAGCUCAAGGGCGCCGGCCCCACGCCCUUCUCCAGACAGGCCGACGGUCGCAAGGUGCUGCGCUCGAGCAUCCGCGAGUUCCUAUGCAGUGAGGCCAUGUUCCACCUGGGCAUCCCCACCACGCGGGCCGGCGCCUGUGUCACGUCCCAGUCCACCGUAGAGCGGGACGUGUUCUACGACGGCAACCCCAGGCCCGAGCAGUGCGCGGUCGUGCUGCGCGUGGCCCCCACGUUCCUCAGGUUCGGAUCCUUUGAGAUCUUCAAGUCCUCGGACGAGCACACGGGGCGCGCCGGCCCCAGCGUGGGGAGGAACGACAUCCGAGUGCAGAUGCUUGACUAUGUCAUCAGCACUUUCUACCCCGAGAUCCAGGCCACUCAGGCCAGCGACAGCGUGCAGAGACACGCCGCCUUCUUCCGGGAGGUGACGCGGCGCACGGCCCAGCUGGUGGCUGAGUGGCAGUGCGUGGGCUUCUGCCACGGCGUGCUCAACACGGACAACAUGAGUAUCGUGGGGCUCACCAUCGACUACGGGCCCUUCGGCUUCCUGGACAGGUACGACCCCGACCACGUGUGCAACGCCUCCGACACCGCCGGGCGCUACUCGUACAGCAGGCAGCCCGAGGUGUGCAAGUGGAAUCUGCAGAAGCUGGCGGAGGCCCUGGACCCCGCGCUGCCCCUCGAGCUGGCCGAGGCCAUCCUGGCGGAGGAGUUCGAUGCCGAGUUCCGCAGGCACUACUUGCAGAAGAUGCGCUGGAAGCUGGGCCUUGUGCGGGCUGAGCGGGAGGAGGACAGCGCCCUGGUGGCCAGGCUCCUGGAGACCAUGCACCUGACGGGUGCUGACUUCACAAACUCCUUCCACCUGCUGAGCUCCUUCCCAGCCGGGCCGGAGCCUCCGGACCUGGACGAGUUCCUGACUGCGCUGACUGCACAGUGUGCCUCCCUGGAGGAGCUGAGGCUCGCCUUCCGACCCCAGAUGGAUCCCCGGCAGCUGUCCAUGAUGCUCAUGCUGGCGCAGUCGAACCCGCAGCUUCUGGCGCUCAUCGGCACGCGGGCGAGCUUGGCGCGGGAGCUGGAGCGCGUGGAGCGGCAGUCGCGGCUGGAGCAGCUGAGCCCGGCCGAGCUGCACAGCAAGAACAGGAGCCGCUGGGCCGAGUGGCUCCUGGAGUACAGAGCCCGGCUGGAGAAGGAUCAGGAGGCCGCCGGCGACACCGCUGCCUGGCAGGCCGAGCGCAUGCGCGUCAUGCACGCGAACAACCCCAAGUACGUCCUGAGGAACUACAUCGCGCAGGGCGCCAUCGAGGCCGCCGAGAGCGGAGACUUCUCAGAGGUGCGGCGGGUGCUGAAGCUGCUGGAGACCCCUUACCGCGGGGAGGGGGAGGCCGCCGAGGCCGAGGAGGCCAGUGGGGAGGCCGGUGGGGCAGCCAGCCGACGGCACUCGUACAGCAGCAAGCCCCCGCUCUGGGCGGCGGAGCUGUGUGUGACGUGAUCGUCGUAA